GAGGGUACAGCUCAGCGGUAGAGUGUGCAUGUUCAGCAUGCACAAGGCUCUGGGUUCAAUCCCCAGUACCUCCA
RNAcentral lists this transfer RNA (74 nucleotides) under Camelus bactrianus (Bactrian camel). It matches the Rfam family "tRNA". From Rfam's summary of the family: Transfer RNA (tRNA) molecules are approximately 80 nucleotides in length. Their secondary structure includes four short double-helical elements and three loops (D, anti-codon, and T loops). RNAcentral also lists the same sequence under 1 other name. The record is from Rfam by way of RNAcentral. Lineage: Eukaryota; Metazoa; Chordata; Mammalia; Artiodactyla; Camelidae.